CAGCAGCAGCCGCGGUAAUACCAGCACCUCGAGUGGUCAGGAGGUUUAUUGGGCCUAAAGCAUCCGUAGCCGGUUGCAUAAGUUUUCGGUUAAAUCUAUGCGCUUAACGUAUAGGCCGCCGAAAAUACUGUGCAGCUAGGGAGUGGGAGAGGUACACGGUACUCGAUAGGAAGGGGUAAAAUCCUUUGAUCUAUUGAUGACCACCUGUGGCGAAGGCGGUGUACCAGAACACGUUCGACGGUGAGGGAUGAAAGCUGGGGGAGCAAACCGGAUUAGAUACCCGCGUAGUCCCUGUCUCUUAUAA
Molecule: ribosomal RNA, 304 nt
Filed under: uncultured bacterium
Lineage: Bacteria
Description: partial 16S ribosomal RNA
Rfam family: Archaeal small subunit ribosomal RNA
Source: RNAcentral